GGAGAAGUGGCUCAUCAGUUAAGAGCACUGGCUGUUCUUCCAGAGGACCUGGGUUCAAUUCCCAGCAUCCACA
RNAcentral lists this transfer RNA (73 nucleotides) under Neotoma lepida (desert woodrat). It matches the Rfam family "tRNA". From Rfam's summary of the family: Transfer RNA (tRNA) molecules are approximately 80 nucleotides in length. Their secondary structure includes four short double-helical elements and three loops (D, anti-codon, and T loops). Lineage: Eukaryota; Metazoa; Chordata; Mammalia; Rodentia; Cricetidae. The record is from Rfam by way of RNAcentral.